Molecule: long non-coding RNA, 293 nt
Filed under: Gossypium barbadense (sea-island cotton)
Lineage: Eukaryota; Viridiplantae; Streptophyta; Magnoliopsida; Malvales; Malvaceae
Description: long non-coding RNA (GBAR_LNC001324)
Source: RNAcentral
AACAACACUGCACCCUUCAGUUUCAGCUCGGGGUGCAGUCGAGGUCAUCCAUGAUCCUCUCCGUGGCCUCUAUCCAAUAUUCAGCCACAUUAGGGGCAACUCUGCCGAUACCCCUAAAGAUCUCAGCCCCAUUAGACCUGAGUUGUUUUGUUACUGACCCACGACCCAUAGCACCAGUAUUGGGCCCAACGACCCUCUCCAAAAUUUGCAGCAUAGCUUGGGACAGUGCGUCGUCCCUAACUGCCUGAUCAUGUGACCCAGUCUCAAUCACAGGUGAAGCCAGUACCUCUCUU